This 506-nucleotide ribosomal RNA is filed under the name uncultured bacterium. RNAcentral describes it as "partial 16S ribosomal RNA". It matches the Rfam family "Bacterial small subunit ribosomal RNA", at positions 28 to 522 of the family's 1533-position model. The record is from RNAcentral.
GACGAACGCUGGCGGCGUGCCUAACACAUGCAAGUCGAACGGAAAACAGAGCAAUAUGGUUUCAGUGGUGAACGGGGGAGUAACGCGUAGACAACCAACCUUUUUUUGGGGGACAAGACGUCGAAAGGCGUGCUAAUACCGCAAGCGCUCCAGAUGCCGGCUGGCGUAUGGAGGAAGGGAGCUUCACGGCUUCGCAGAGAGAGGGGUCUGCGUCGGAUUAGCUAGUGGGGGGGGUAACGGCCCACCAAGGCGACGAUCAGUAGCCGGUCUGAGAGGAUGGCCGGCCACACUGGGACUGAGACACGGCCCAGACUCCUACGGGAGGCAGCAGUGGGGAAUCUUCCGCAAUGGACGAAAGUCUGACGGAGCGAUGCCGCGUGAAUGAUGAAGGCCCUUGGGUCGUAAAGCUCUGUCAUCAGGGACGAACGGUCACGUCAGAAAAUGGGCGUGAAUUGACGGUACCUGAGAAGGAAGCCACGGCUAACUACGUGCCAGCAGCCGCGGUA